This 475-nucleotide ribosomal RNA is filed under the name uncultured bacterium. RNAcentral describes it as "partial 16S ribosomal RNA". It matches the Rfam family "Bacterial small subunit ribosomal RNA", at positions 29 to 523 of the family's 1533-position model. The record is from RNAcentral.
AGUGAACGCUGGCGGUAGGCCUAACACAUGCAAGUCGAACGCAGUCUUCGGACUAAGUGGCGCACGGGUGAGUAACACGUAACUGACCUACCCCCAAGUCGCGGAUAACUGGCCGAAAGGUCAGCUAAUACGUGAUGUGAUGUCCCCUUUCUGGGGGGCCAUUAAAGGUUUACUGCUUGGGGAUGGGGUUGCGUUCCAUCAGCUAGUUGGCGGGGUAAAGGCCCACCAAGGCAACGACGGAUAGCCGGCCUGAGAGGGUGGCCGGCCACAGGGGCACUGAGACACGGGUCCCACUCCUACGGGAGGCAGCAGUUAGGAAUCUUCCACAAUGGGCGAAAGCCUGAUGGAGCGACGCCGCGUGAGGGAUGAAGGUUCUCGGAUCGUAAACCUCUGAAUCAGGGACGAAAGACGCGUAAGCGGGAUGACGGUACCUGAGUAAUAGCACCGGCUAACUCCGUGCCAGCCGCCGCCGUAA